AAGCUCGUAGUUGAAUUUCGGGAUUGACACAUCGGUCGUGCCUUAAGGGUAUGAACUGGUGUAGUCAAUUUCUCACCUUCUGGAGAACCGCGAUGCCCUUAAUUGGGUGUCGCGGGGAACCAGGACCUUUACUUUGAAAAAAUUAGAGUGUUUAGAGCAGGCAUUUUGCUUGAAUACAUUAGCAUGGAAUAAUAAAAUAGGACGGCAUGAUUCUAUUUUGUUGGUUUCUAGGAUCACCGUAAUGAUUAAUAGGGAUAGUUGGG
RNAcentral lists this ribosomal RNA (263 nucleotides) under uncultured Glomus. Its description in RNAcentral is "partial 18S ribosomal RNA". It matches the Rfam family "Eukaryotic small subunit ribosomal RNA", at positions 624 to 886 of the family's 1831-position model. Lineage: Eukaryota; Fungi; Glomeromycota; Glomeromycetes; Glomerales; Glomeraceae. The record is from RNAcentral.